AUUGAACGCUGGCGGCAUGCCUUACACAUGCAAGUCGAACGGUAACAGGUCUUCGGAUGCUGACGAGUGGCGAACGGGUGAGUAAUACAUCGGAACGUGCCUAGUAGUGGGGGAUAACUACUCGAAAGAGUGGCUAAUACCGCAUGAGAGCUACGGAUGAAAGCAGGGGAUCGCAAGACCUUGUGCUACUAGAGCGGCCGAUGGCAGAUUAGGUAGUUGGUGGGAUAAAAGCUUACCAAGCCGACGAUCUGUAGCUGGUCUGAGAGGACGAUCAGCCACACUGGGACUGAGACACGGCCCAGACUCCUACGGGAGGCAGCAGUGGGGAAUUUUGGACAAUGGCGCAAGCCUGAUCCAGCAAUGCCGCGUGCAGGAUGAAGGCCUUCGGGUUGUAAACUGCUUUUGUACGGAACGAAAAGCCCUGGGUUAAUACCCUGGGGUCAUGACGGUACCGUAAGAAUAAGCACCGGCUAACUACGUGCCAGCCGCCGCCGUAA
This 497-nucleotide ribosomal RNA is filed under the name uncultured bacterium. Its description in RNAcentral is "partial 16S ribosomal RNA". It matches the Rfam family "Bacterial small subunit ribosomal RNA", at positions 30 to 523 of the family's 1533-position model. The record is from RNAcentral.